Molecule: long non-coding RNA, 448 nt
Filed under: Parus major (Great Tit)
Lineage: Eukaryota; Metazoa; Chordata; Aves; Passeriformes; Paridae
Description: lncRNA (ENSPMJG00000012819.1)
Source: RNAcentral
CUUUACACCAUUUAGUAACAGACAUUUUUCAAGUAGAUUGCACUGAAGCCCCUAAAACACGCAUACACCUCUUCUCUUGGCUGCUGGUUGGAGUUUUAGGUUCAAGUAGGAUGUACAACAGGCAAGAGGAUGAGGCAGACCUCUACAAAGGAAAGGUUGAAUAUGGACACUGUUGACACCAGGUCCUAGCUGGGAAAAGCUUUAAGCUCGACAUGAAGGUCUGUGGAUACCUGCCAGACUCUUCUGUCCAGUUUCAGAUGGAGAAUUGCACAUGUGGAUCUGGAGUUUUUUGGAACGACACUUCUGUAAUAAAAGCAAGACUGGUGGUGGCAGUUUUCAUUAUGGUACCUCAGCAUGAUGCUGUCAUCAGAAAGUGUCACAAAUGGAGAAGAAGCUCAAAUUCUCCUGAUGUGGGGUACCUGAUCCUCUCAGCAUGGGGUGACAUUGG